UCCUCUGUGAACUACGAUGCUGAAUGAGUC
This 30-nucleotide non-coding RNA is filed under the name Mus musculus (house mouse). Lineage: Eukaryota; Metazoa; Chordata; Mammalia; Rodentia; Muridae. The record is from RNAcentral.